GUUAAUUCUGUCAGACUCACCAAC
RNAcentral lists this non-coding RNA (24 nucleotides) under Arabidopsis thaliana (thale cress). Lineage: Eukaryota; Viridiplantae; Streptophyta; Magnoliopsida; Brassicales; Brassicaceae. The record is from RNAcentral.